This 253-nucleotide ribosomal RNA is filed under the name uncultured bacterium. RNAcentral's name for it is "partial 16S ribosomal RNA". It matches the Rfam family "Bacterial small subunit ribosomal RNA", at positions 524 to 776 of the family's 1533-position model. The record is from RNAcentral.
UACGUAGGUGGCAAGCGUUGUCCGGAUUUACUGGGCGUAAAGGGCGUGCAGGCGGUCUGUUAAGUUCAGGGUGAAAGCUCCCGGCUCAACUGGGAGAGGUCCUUGGAUACUGGCAGACUUGAGGGAGGUAGAGGAGAGUGGAAUUCCCGGUGUAGUGGUGAAAUGCGUAGAUAUCGGGAGGAACACCAGUGGCGAAGGCGACUUCCUGGCCUGUUCUUGACGCUGAGGCGCGAAAGCUAGGGUAGCAAACGGG